Molecule: ribosomal RNA, 452 nt
Filed under: uncultured bacterium
Lineage: Bacteria
Description: bacterial SSU rRNA
Rfam family: Bacterial small subunit ribosomal RNA
Source: RNAcentral
GUCCCAGACUCCUACGGGAGGCAGCAGUGGGGGAUAUUGGACAAUGGGGGGAACCCUGAUCCAGCGACGCCGCGUGAGUGAAGAAGUAUCUCGGUAUGUAAAGCUCUAUCAGCAGGGAAGAAAGAAAUGACGGUACCUGAGUAAGAAGCCCCGGCUAACUACGUGCCAGCAGCCGCGGUAAUACGUAGGGGGCAAGCGUUAUCCGGAAUCAUUGGGCGUAAAGAGUUCGUAGGCGGCACGUAAAGUCUGGUGUUAAAGGCAGAGGCUCAACUUCUGUACGGCACUGGAUACUUGCGAGCUAGAAUGCGGUAGAGGUAAAGGGAAUUCCUGGUGUAGCGGUGAAAUGCUUAGAUAUCAGGAGGAACAUCGGUGGCGUAAGCGCUUUACUGGGCCGUAAUUGACGCUGAGGAACGAAAGCCAGGGUAGCAAAUGGGAUUAGAUACCCUGGUACA